Molecule: ribosomal RNA, 407 nt
Filed under: uncultured prokaryote
Also listed under: 1 other name
Description: bacterial SSU rRNA
Rfam family: Bacterial small subunit ribosomal RNA
Source: RNAcentral
UGGGGAAUAUUGGGCAAUGGGGGAAACCCUGACCCAGCGACGCCGCGUGAGGGAAGAAGGUCUUCGGAUUGUAAACCUUUGUUGUAAGGGAAGAAACAAAUGACGGUACCUUACGAGGAAGCCACGGCUAACUACGUGCCAGCAGCCGCGGUAAUACGUAGGUGGCAAGCGUUAUCCGGAUUUACUGGGUGUAAAGGGUGUGUAGGCGGAGAGGCAAGUCAGAUGUGAAAUUUACGGGCUUAACCUGUGAACUGCGUCUGAAACUGCUUCCCUUGAGAGUCGGAGAGGUAACUGGAAUUCCAUGUGUAGCGGUGAAAUGCGUAGAUAUAUGGUGGAACACCGGUGGCGAAGGCGGGUUACUGGACGACAACUGACGCUGAGACACGAAAGCGUGGGGAGCAAACAGG